AGACAGUUUGAGAGACGACCCCCAAACUCUGAAUUCAAGCCACAGUUCACAGUGAAGACAGUGAAGCAUGGUGGAACAAGCACCAUGAUAUGGAGAUGUGUCUCAUACUAUGGUGUCAGGUCUAUUCAUC
Molecule: long non-coding RNA, 130 nt
Organism: Thalassophryne amazonica
Lineage: Eukaryota; Metazoa; Chordata; Actinopteri; Batrachoidiformes; Batrachoididae
Exons: 3
Source: RefSeq, a predicted model, not a curated record